RNAcentral lists this ribosomal RNA (497 nucleotides) under uncultured bacterium. Its description in RNAcentral is "partial 16S ribosomal RNA". It matches the Rfam family "Bacterial small subunit ribosomal RNA", at positions 28 to 507 of the family's 1533-position model. The record is from RNAcentral.
GAUGAACGCUGGCGGCGUGCCUAAUACAUGCAAGUCGAGCGAACGGACGAGAAGCUUGCUUCUCUGAUGUUAGCGGCGGACGGGUGAGUAACACGUGGAUAACCUACCUAUAAGACUGGGAUAACUUCGGGAAACCGGAGCUAAUACCGGAUAAUAUUUUGAACCGCAUGGUUCAAAAGUGAAAGACGGUCUUGCUGUCACUUAUAGAUGGAUCCGCGCUGCAUUAGCUAGUUGGCAAGGUAACGGCUUACCAAGGCAACGAUGCAUAGCCGACCUGAGAGGGUGAUCGGCCACACUGGAACUGAGACACGGUCCAGACUCCUACGGGAGGCAGCAGUAGGGAAUUUUCCGCAAUGGGCGAAAGCCUGACGGAGCAACGCCGCGUGAGUGAUGAAGGUCUUCGGAUCGUAAAACUCUGUUAUUAGGGAAGAACAUAUGUGUAAGUAACUGUGCACAUCUUGACGGUACCUAAUCAGAAAGCCACGGCUAACUACGUG